AAUGGAGGCAACUCUGAUCCAGCCAUGCCGCGUGCAGGAGGACUGCCUAUGGGUUGUAAACUGCUUUUAUAUAGGAAGAACCUUGGUACGUGUACCAAGCUGACGGUACUAUAAGAAUAAGGAUCGGCUAACUCCGUGCCAGCAGCCGCGGUAAUACGGAGGAUCCAAGCGUUAUCCGGAAUCAUUGGGUUUAAAGGGUCCGUAGGUGGAUAAUUAAGUCAGAGGUGAAAUCUUGCAGCUCAACUGUAAAAUUGCCUUUGAUACUGGUUAUCUUGAGUUAUUAUGAAGUAGUUAGAAUAUGUAGUGUAGCGGUGAAAUGCAUAGAUAUUACAUAGAAUACCAAUUGCGAAGGCAGAUUACUAAUAAUCAACUGACACUGAUGGACGAAAGCGUGGGUAGCGAACAGGAUU
RNAcentral lists this ribosomal RNA (410 nucleotides) under uncultured Flavobacteriia bacterium. RNAcentral describes it as "bacterial SSU rRNA". It matches the Rfam family "Bacterial small subunit ribosomal RNA", at positions 370 to 779 of the family's 1533-position model. Lineage: Bacteria; Pseudomonadati; Bacteroidota; Flavobacteriia. The record is from RNAcentral.